RNAcentral lists this ribosomal RNA (468 nucleotides) under uncultured bacterium. RNAcentral's name for it is "partial 16S ribosomal RNA". It matches the Rfam family "Bacterial small subunit ribosomal RNA", at positions 28 to 507 of the family's 1533-position model. The record is from RNAcentral.
GACGAACGCUGGCGGCGUGCUUAACACAUGCAAGUCGAACGGAAAGGCCCUGCUUUUGUGGGGUGCUCGAGUGGCGAACGGGUGAGUAACACGUGAGUAACCUGCCCUUGACUUUGGGAUAACUUCAGGAAACUGGGGCUAAUACCGGAUAGGAGCUCCUGCUGCAUGGUGGGGGUUGGAAAGUUUCGGCGGUUGGGGAUGGACUCGCGGCUUAUCAGCUUGUUGGUGGGGUAGUGGCUUACCAAGGCUUUGACGGGUAGCCGGCCUGAGAGGGUGACCGGCCACAUUGGGACCGAGAUACGGCCCAGACUCCUACGGGAGGCAGCAGUGGGGAAUAUUGCUCAAUGGGCGGAAGCCUGAUGCAGCAACGCCGCGUGCGGGAUGACGGCCUUCGGGUUGUAAACCGCUUUCGCCUGUGACGAAGCGUGAGUGACGGUAAUGGGUAAAGAAGCACCGGCUAACUACGUG